Molecule: small nuclear RNA, 115 nt
Filed under: Meriones unguiculatus (Mongolian gerbil)
Lineage: Eukaryota; Metazoa; Chordata; Mammalia; Rodentia; Muridae
Description: U1 spliceosomal RNA (ENSMUGG00000026027.1)
Rfam family: U1 spliceosomal RNA
About the family: U1 is a small nuclear RNA (snRNA) component of the spliceosome (involved in pre-mRNA splicing). Its 5' end forms complementary base pairs with the 5' splice junction, thus defining the 5' donor site of an intron.
Source: RNAcentral
CUACUGACCUGGCAGGGUGGAUACCAUGAUCAAGAAGGUGGUUGUCUCAAGGCACAGCUUUGUGCUCCAGAUGACUGCACAGUCUGUGAUAGUGGGGAAUUGUAUUUGUGCAGAG